GCAUUUCCUCAGUUUAUAUACUAAAAUUGGAACGUUGCAGAAAACAAAAGUUUACCUCUUGCGCACGGAUGAUAUGCAAAAUCGUGAUGCAUUUCACUUUUUU
Molecule: small nuclear RNA, 103 nt
Organism: Argiope bruennichi
Lineage: Eukaryota; Metazoa; Arthropoda; Arachnida; Araneae; Araneidae
Source: RefSeq, a predicted model, not a curated record